GCCAUGUGUGCAAAAGUAGAAUAUCAAUACGCUGCAGCUUCGUUAGGUUAAAAUGCUACACGUGUUGUAAGGCAUCAAAUGCAUGUACAUGCUUAAUUCCUCUCUUCAUAUGCGUAAUAUUAAUGAUUCAUCAAUCUUCACGUCAUUAAAGUCCAUUGAGCUCCGCUCCUCCCUUUUCUGUUUUCUUGGUUUUCUUCUUUCUUUCUUCUAUUUUUUCCCCACCAGGUAGGUGUUCAAUGCUGCAGAUCUAUUUCCGAGGUAUUUUGCGUGGGCACCACACGCCAUGCCGCAAUGAGAAGCUGAGGAAUGAUCGCAACAAGGUAGCAAGGCCUAGAAGGUGCUGGGUGAAGAAUGUAAGGGGAAGGCUUAAGGGCCUACGCUUAUCACGUUCCAGAAAGCUCAGUUUGAAGACAUUUUCCUUUUUGAUAGUUCCAAACAGGAUUACAAGGAUCUAUGCAGAUAUUGUAGAUCGAAUGAAGAUGGAUGGUCUAUGUCCCAGUAUCAUCUUGUCUACUCACUGGGGACUUCCCACCUUAUCUCAUCCCUCGCUUUAGAACAGAAAGGACAUCAUCUUUCUUGCACAAAUUUAAUUUCUGCUUCUACUGACGAGUUUUCGUCUUCCAGGGAUUGUUAUGAACUCAAUUUGGUUCUUCUUUUUUGCUGUACUUUUUCUAAUUCCUGUACGGUAAUUAAACCACUACCUUUUUAUCAAAUAUCAUGUAUAAUUAUAGACCAACAAAUAGGUUUAGGGGUAAUAAGAACUCCAUCGCUUGCUUCAGUGCCAAGAUCACUUCUACCUCUAAGGAUUAGCCUCUUGAUAUACUCUUUUUUGGAGCAGUGAUUAAACUCAAAGAUUAGAAUG
Molecule: long non-coding RNA, 862 nt
Filed under: Durio zibethinus
Lineage: Eukaryota; Viridiplantae; Streptophyta; Magnoliopsida; Malvales; Malvaceae
Description: long non-coding RNA (DZIB_LNC002280)
Source: RNAcentral